This is a long non-coding RNA of Chelonia mydas (Green sea turtle), 2183 nucleotides long. RefSeq lists it as uncharacterized. The record is from RefSeq and is a predicted model, not a curated record. Lineage: Eukaryota; Metazoa; Chordata; Testudines; Cheloniidae. The transcript is spliced from 3 exons.
UUUUUGCUUUCUCUCGCACGCAUAGGCUCAAAUAUCUAGACGAAGAUGCAAACUGGUUGCUGCAGUCAUUGUCUUGAGGAAGAAAGCUCAUCAUUGCAAUGCCAUCUUUUCACUCGUGCUCGGUGAUUAAACUUCCCCAGCGUGGGGAUGGAAAAGAAGCUGGAAAUGAAACAGGAUUGGGGGAAAUCACAUUGCUGCAGCUGUAGCCUGCGGUGGCCCCUGCCAGACGUGUCCGGGUUUCUGGGGUCCUUGACAUUAAAAAGCAAUGUGAGAAAAUAUUCGGAGACAAAAGCUGCAGCCUAAAUGAUCAUUUUCUUUAUUUAACAUGGCAGCAGGCGCCGUGCGUGGGUAGGAUCAACAUGCUGCGUGUUCAUUUGGACUUCUCUCCCUGUCUCCCUUCGAAGAUGAAAGGAGAUAAUGUAAUCUUUCCUGUGCCAAAUAGGGACCCGAGAGCGAUGAACAUAUAUGGCUGUUUCUAUUCGUGCUGGUGUAUUUUCAGCGAUGCCUGUCAACAUCCACCAGAGAGCAGGGCAGCUCCAAUACCCACAUCUUUUAUGCUGUGGAAAUCAAUGGGGACAGCAACACAGCCAGCUUCCUGACCAAACAACAUGGAUUGCAGUUCAUUUCAAAGGAGCAGGCAAUGGCAUCAUCCAAAUGCCCCAGUGUCUGAAAGAAAUAAUUACCUGACUGAAGAACAGUGGGCUCAAUCUCAACCCAGGCAAGAUGGAGAUGAAACUGGUAAGAAAAUGGAAGCACUUCAAGGAAAUGGCAAAAAUGAUGGUGGCAUCUCUAUUGAGGGCACUUGCUCUCUGGUUGUCAAGGUGAUGCACAGUCUUUCCUAAUCCUGGGCUACCAAGUAGCAACAAUGGCCAGAAAUGCCUUCUUCAGCGAGGCAGAAGACUGCCCCCUUUGCUCGCUGAUGUGUACCUUGCCACAGUAAUUCAUGGCCAAGCUGGAUUAGUGCAAAAUGCUCCCUCCCUUUGGGCUGUCUGUGAAGGCUGCAUGGAAGCAUCAGAUGACAGAAUUUGUGACACAAAUUAAGGAGAGCAUAUCUCACCAUUUCGGUACCCAGCAUUGGCUCUGCCCACAAUACUAGAAGUGCUUUGAGAUUGUGGUAAUCAUUUCAGCUCUUUCAGUCGGCUAGGAUGUUGCAGUUUCUGGGGCUUUUUCUCUCUCUACCAGUUUUAGAACACAACAAUCUACAGGGACAGGACAGGUAAGCGAGCUCAGGAUGGAACUCUGAGGUUUGGAGGGCACAACUUUCUUGAUGGAGGCCCUUUUGUGAUGGAACUACCUGAUGGUAGAGAUCAGGCUGAGUUUGAAUCUUGCCAAGUACAGGCACAAUGCAAGACUCCCCUGUUUGCACAGGCCUUCCUAUAGUAAAGGUUGCCAAAUGGCCCAAUGGCAUUCCGUCCCUCUCUGUGUGAUUCAUUCCUAUUUGGACAAUAAUUUUUGGUUCUCCUGUUCAUAUUUGGCCCUUAGAUCCUAUAAUGCAUUAUAAAUUAACAAAUACUAUGAAUAAGGUGUCGUGCAGCAUCUUGUUAGUGAUACCUCAUUAGCCCCAUGAGAAAUAGAAAUUUAAAACAAAACCAUAGACAAAUGGAUAUGGACAUACAGUGUGGGAUAAAGCUAUGUUUGUGCUAGUAGCCAACUCAAGCAGCUAUGAAUAUCAGGUUUGAUUUAGUUGUAUAAAUUGCUUCAAUGGUGAAUAAUAGUAUUACAAAACUCAUCACUUAUAUAGUGAUGAGAACCCCAUAUCACUUCACAAACAUUAGUUCAUUAUUAAGUCUCACAACACUAUAGGAAGUAGUACUAUGUUUUUUCUCUGCAAGAUGACUUUUCCCCCUCCUUCACCAGAUUGAUGCUCCCUUCCUUAUUAUGUUUAUGAUGGUAUUAUAUAUAAUUUACUUUGCAUACACUUGUGACACACAAUUUUGUAUUCUAAAUCAUAUUGUGGCUCUUUGAUUCUUCUUGUUGAAAAAGGGACUCUGGCUGAUAAUUGCUGAAUGCUUUAUAAAUAGCAUGGCUGGAGAAAUGAAAUGCUAGAAUUUCUAACAACACUAGUCUACAGCACUGAAAAGAGAAACUUAAUUAUAACCAGAACCCAAAAUAUAUUAUUUGAUUUUUUUUUAAAUAAAUAUUUUUGUGUAAAACUAGUGUUCAUGAAAAAUCCUGGUUUAACA